This 441-nucleotide ribosomal RNA is filed under the name uncultured bacterium. RNAcentral's name for it is "partial 16S ribosomal RNA". It matches the Rfam family "Bacterial small subunit ribosomal RNA", at positions 338 to 795 of the family's 1533-position model. The record is from RNAcentral.
CCUACGGGUGGCAGCAGUGGGGGAUAUUGCACAAUGGAGGGAACCCUGAUGCAGCGACGCCGCGUGGGUGAAGAAGCGUUUCGGCUCGUAAAGCCCUAUCGGCAGGGAAGAAGGAGGACGGUAGCUGACUAAGAAGCCCCGGCUAACUACGUGCCAGCAGCCGCGGUAAUACGUAGGGGGCAAGCGUUAUCCGGAUUUACUGGGUGUAAAGGGUGCGCAGACGGCAGCGCAAGCCAGGAGUGAAAGCCCUGGGCCCAACCCCGGGACUGCUCUUGGAACUGCGCGGCUGGAGUGCAGGAGGGGAAGGUGGAAUUCCGGGUGUAGCGGUGAAAUGCGUAGAUAUCAGGAGGAACACCGGUGGCGAAGGCGGCCCGCUGGACUGCGACAGACGUUGAGGCCCGAAAGCGUGGGGAGCAAACAGGAUUAGAUACCCUUGUAGUC